Molecule: ribosomal RNA, 492 nt
Filed under: uncultured bacterium
Lineage: Bacteria
Description: partial 16S ribosomal RNA
Rfam family: Bacterial small subunit ribosomal RNA
Source: RNAcentral
AGUGAACGCUGGCGGUAGGCCUAACACAUGCAAGUCGAACGGCAGCACAGUAAGAGCUUGCUCUUACGGGUGGCGAGUGGCGGACGGGUGAGGAAUACAUCGGAAUCUACUUUUUCGUGGGGGAUAACGUAGGGAAACUUACGCUAAUACCGCAUACGACCUACGGGUGAAAGCAGGGGAUCUUCGGACCUUGCGCGAUUGAAUGAGCCGAUGUCGGAUUAGCUAGUUGGCGGGGUAAAGGCCCACCAAGGCGACGAUCCGUAGCUGGUCUGAGAGGAUGAUCCGCCAGACUGGAACUGAGACACGGUCCAGACUCCUACGGGAGGCAGCAGUGGGGAAUAUUGGACAAUGGGCGAAAGCCUGAUACAGCCAUACCGCGUGGGUGAAGAAGGCCUUCGGGUUGUAAAGCCCUUUUGUUGGGAAAGAAAAGAAGCAGGUUAAUACCCCGCUGUUCUGACGGUACCCAAAGAAUAAGCACCGGCUAACUUCGUG